CCUGGCUCAGAUUGAACGCUGGCGGCAGGCCUAACACAUGCAAGUCGAACGGUAGCACAGAGAGCUUGCUCUCGGGUGACGAGUGGCGGACGGGUGAGUAAUGUCUGGGAAACUGCCUGAUGGAGGGGGAUAACUACUGGAAACGGUAGCUAAUACCGCAUAACGUCGCAAGACCAAAGAGGGGGACCUUCGGGCCUCUUGCCAUCAGAUGUGCCCAGAUGGGAUUAGCUAGUUGGUGAGGUAGUGGCUCACCAAGGCGACGAUCCCUAGCUGGUCUGAGAGGAUGAUCAGCCACACUGGAACUGAGACACGGUCCAGACUCCUACGGGAGGCAGCAGUGGGGAAUAUUGCACAAUGGGGGAAACCCUGAUGCAGCCAUGCCGCGUGUAUGAAGAAGGCCUUCGGGUUGUAAAGCACUUUCAGCGAGGAGGAAAGGUCAGUAGCUAAUAUCUGCUGACUGUGACGUUACUCGCAGAAGAAGCACCGGCUAACUCCGUGCCAGCAGCCGCGGUAAUACGGAGGAUGCGAGCGUUAUCCGGAUUUAUUGGGUUUAAAGGGUGCGCAGGCGGAACCAUAAGUCAGCGGUAAAAUGUCGGGGCUCAACCCCGGCCCGCCGUUGAAACUGUGAUUCUCGAGUGGGCGCGAGG
RNAcentral lists this ribosomal RNA (647 nucleotides) under uncultured Enterobacteriaceae bacterium. Its description in RNAcentral is "bacterial SSU rRNA". It matches the Rfam family "Bacterial small subunit ribosomal RNA", at positions 18 to 657 of the family's 1533-position model. The record is from RNAcentral. Lineage: Bacteria; Pseudomonadati; Pseudomonadota; Gammaproteobacteria; Enterobacterales; Enterobacteriaceae.